This 200-nucleotide unclassified non-coding RNA is filed under the name Helotiales sp. RNAcentral describes it as "partial internal transcribed spacer 2". Lineage: Eukaryota; Fungi; Ascomycota; Leotiomycetes; Helotiales. The record is from RNAcentral.
UUAAGUUCAGCGGGUAUCCCUACCUGAUCCGAGGUCAAACUUAGAAAGUUGGGGGUUGCUGGCCAGCACGCACCGAGACCCUGUAGCGAGGAGUAUUACUACGCUUAGAGCACGAUGGCACCGCCACUGAUUUUAAGACCGGUCCAGACGGACGCGGCCCAAGACAAGCAGAGCUUGAGUGUUGUACUGACGCUCGAACA